CAGCACAGGGAACCUGCCAGUUCAGGGAGGCCCACCUUUCUAGAAGGUUAACAGGAACUUCCAGCCUCCAGCCUACUUAGUGACCAGCUGCUGGAGGACAGUGAGUGGCCCCUGCUGUCCGCAUCUCCACAGGGGUCACCAAGCGCACUCACAGGGUCCCCCUCCACCUGGAGCAGAGAAUUCGGAGGAGCCCGUCUUGCUGUCUUUUCUGAUGUUGUUAAACUAUGCUUGGGCCUGUCCUUUGCUGAAAGGAGCUUUCUACACAGCUGGACUUCUGAGGUGGGACCUGCCACGUGCUAACUCUGGCACUCGGAGCGGUCUCUGCCACUGGCAAUGUCCUGUCCUGAACAUUUCCAGUGUGGCCUCUCUCCUGAAAGGCCUGUGUGCGACUUCUUUGUGAAGCCGGAAGAAAGUUCUGGGACUUCCCCUUCUCCUUUGGUGCAAAGUUACACUAACUGUCAUGAUGUUGUUGAUUUCCUUUUUUUUUUUUUUUUUUUUGAGAGUCUCACUCUGUUGCCUAGACUGGAGUGCAAUGGCGUGAUCUCGGCUCACUACAGCCUCCGCCUCCUGGGUUCAAG
Molecule: long non-coding RNA, 578 nt
Filed under: Homo sapiens (human)
Lineage: Eukaryota; Metazoa; Chordata; Mammalia; Primates; Hominidae
Description: non-protein coding lnc-MIB2-1:5
Source: RNAcentral